Molecule: non-coding RNA, 96 nt
Organism: Mycena crocata
Lineage: Eukaryota; Fungi; Basidiomycota; Agaricomycetes; Agaricales; Mycenaceae
Source: the annotation of a GenBank genome assembly
GCCAAGUGGUCUAACGGUUAAGACGCACCGGAAUAAGUGUACACAGGGACUUUUUCACUUAUCUGGUGAAUCUGGGUUCGACUCCCAGCAAUGGCA